AGUGAACGCUGGCGGUAGGCCUAACACAUGCAAGUCGAACGGCAGCACAGUAAGCGCUUGCUCCUACGGGUGGCGAGUGGCGGACGGGUGAGGAAUACAUCGGAAUCUACUUUUUCGUGGGGGAUAACGUAGGGAAACAUCCGCUACUACCGCAUAUGUCCUACGGGUGAAAGCAGGGGAUCUUCGCACCUUGCGUGAUUGAAUGAGCUGAUGCCGGAUUAGCUAGUUGGCGGGGUAAAGGCUCACCAAGGCAACGUGCCGAAGCUGGUCUGAGAGGAGGAUCAGCCACACUGGAACUGAGACACGUUCCAGACUCUUACGGAAGGCAGCAGAGGGAAUUAUUGGACAAGGGGCGCAAGCCGGAUCCGGCCAGACCGGUUAGUUAAGGAAGUCCUUCGAGUGGUAAAGCCCUUUUGUUGGGAAAGAAAAGCAGCAGAUUAAUACCCCGCUGUUCUGACGUUACCCAAAGAAUAGGCACCGGCAAACUCCUU
This 491-nucleotide ribosomal RNA is filed under the name uncultured bacterium. Its description in RNAcentral is "partial 16S ribosomal RNA". It matches the Rfam family "Bacterial small subunit ribosomal RNA", at positions 29 to 506 of the family's 1533-position model. The record is from RNAcentral.